RNAcentral lists this ribosomal RNA (403 nucleotides) under uncultured bacterium. RNAcentral's name for it is "bacterial SSU rRNA". It matches the Rfam family "Bacterial small subunit ribosomal RNA", at positions 356 to 773 of the family's 1533-position model. The record is from RNAcentral.
UAGGAAUUUUGCGCAAUGGGGGAAACCCUGACGCAGCAACGCCGCGUGAAGGAUGAAGGCCUUCGGGUUGUAAACUUCUUUCGAUUGGGAAAAAACAAAUGAUGGUACCAAGAGAAGAAGCACCGGCUAACUACGUGCCAGCAGCCGCGGUAAUACGUAGGGUGCAAGCGUUACUCGGAUUUAUUGGGCGUAAAGCGCAUGUAGGUGGCUUUGUAAGUCUGAUGUGAAAGUCCUGGACUCAAUUCAGGAACUGCAUUGGAUACUGCAAGGCUAGAGUAUGGGAGAGGUAGGCGGAAUUCCUGGUGUAGAGGUGAAAUUCGUAGAUAUCAGGAGGAACAACAGAAGCGAAGGCGGCUUACUGGACCAUAACUGACACUGAGAUGCGACAGUGUGGGGAGCAAAC